AUUCCGCGUGAGUGAGAAGGCCUUCGGGUUGUAAAGCUCUUUCAGCCGGAACGAAACGGUGCGCUCUAACAUAGCGCGCUACUGACGGUACCGUCAGAAGAAGCACCGGCUAACUACGUGCCAGCAGCCGCGGUAAUACGUAGGGUGCGAGCGUUAAUCGGAAUUACUGGGCGUAAAGCGUGCGCAGGCGGAUUGUUAAGCAAGACGUGAAAUCCCCGGGCUUAACCUGGGAAUGGCGUUUUGAACUGGCAGUCUAGAGUGCGUCAGAGGGGGGUGGAAUUCCACGUGUAGCAGUGAAAUGCGUAGAGAUGUGGAGGAACACCGAUGGCGAAGGCAGCCCCCUGGGAUGACACUGACGCUCAUGUACGAAAGCGUGGGUAGCAAACAGGAUUAGAUACCCUGGUAGUCCACGCCCUAAACGAUGUCAACUGGUUGUUGGGGGAGUGAAAUCCCUU
RNAcentral lists this ribosomal RNA (455 nucleotides) under uncultured Thiobacillus sp. RNAcentral describes it as "bacterial SSU rRNA". It matches the Rfam family "Bacterial small subunit ribosomal RNA", at positions 394 to 841 of the family's 1533-position model. Lineage: Bacteria; Pseudomonadati; Pseudomonadota; Betaproteobacteria; Nitrosomonadales; Thiobacillaceae. The record is from RNAcentral.